This 389-nucleotide ribosomal RNA is filed under the name Clostridioides difficile. RNAcentral describes it as "bacterial LSU rRNA". It matches the Rfam family "Bacterial large subunit ribosomal RNA", at positions 1378 to 1776 of the family's 2925-position model. The record is from RNAcentral. Lineage: Bacteria; Bacillati; Bacillota; Clostridia; Peptostreptococcales; Peptostreptococcaceae.
GGUUAGUAGGGAGCAAAGCUGAGGAGGAGAGUGGUAGUGGAGGGACAACAGGGUUAGCAACCGGUAAGACAUAGAACCGUUUGAGAGAAGGGAUGACACAGUAGGAGAAGCUAAGCACACUGUUGGUUAGGUGUGCCCAAGCAUUGAGGCAGUCAAAGGAGGCAAAUCCGCUGUGAUAAUGCUGGGAUGUGAUGGGGAGCGAAAUGUAGUAGCGAAGUAGCUGAUUUCACACUGUCAAGAAAAGUAGCGAUAGAGGGAAAAGGUAGCCGUACCGCAAACCGACACAGGUGGGUGAGGAGAGAAUCCUAAGGCCAGCGAGAGAGCGGUAGAUAAGGAACUCGGCGAAUUGAACCCGUAACUUAGGGAUAAGGGGUGACACCAUCAGGUGG